CACUGUGACUUUGAAAUGAAGAAUUGCAAUAAAUGUGCUUUUUGUGUGUGUGUUUUUUUUUAUGUGCAUGAACUGAUUUUGUAUCAUGGAUAGACACCUCAUAUCCUUAGUUUUUCUAUUCUAUAACAACCUGGUAGAUGAGGUGUACAUCAUCAUUUUUAUUUUAAAAUGCCAAAAUCAAGUCCUGACACUAUCCCCUACAAUAGGUAUGUCAGAUAGGCUGAAGUGCAUGUCAAGCAACUAUAUACAAAUCUUGUUAUGUUUUCCUCUGAGUUCAGUAUUUUUGUGAUUUUACUUUUCCAUGAUAUUAGAAUCAUACAGAUUCAGUAUACAGAGG
RNAcentral lists this long non-coding RNA (337 nucleotides) under Mytilus galloprovincialis (Mediterranean mussel). The record is from RNAcentral. Lineage: Eukaryota; Metazoa; Mollusca; Bivalvia; Mytilida; Mytilidae.